Molecule: ribosomal RNA, 507 nt
Filed under: uncultured bacterium
Lineage: Bacteria
Description: bacterial SSU rRNA
Rfam family: Bacterial small subunit ribosomal RNA
Source: RNAcentral
GAUGAACGCUAGCGAUAGGCCUAACACAUGCAAGUCGAGGGGCAUCACAUGAGGUAGCAAUACCGAUGGUGGCGACCGGCGCACGGGUGAGUAACACGUAUGCAACCUGCCUUCAACAAGGGCAUAACCCGUUGAAAGACGGACUAAUUCCCUAUGACACAGGGGUCCCGCAUGGGGAUAUUUGUUAAAGAUUAAUCGGUUGGAGAUGGGCAUGCGUUCCAUUAGCUUGUUGGCGGGGUAACGGCCCACCAAGGCAACGAUGGAUAGGGGAACUGAGAGGUUUAUCCCCCACACUGGUACUGAGACACGGACCAGACUCCUACGGGAGGCAGCAGUGAGGAAUAUUGGUCAAUGGGCGCAAGCCUGAACCAGCCACGUCGCGUGAAGGAAGACGGCCCUACGGGUUGUAAACUUCUUUUGCAAGGGAAUAAAGUUGGCCACGCGUGGCCUUUUGCAUGUACCUUGCGAAUAAGGAUCGGCUAACUCCGUGCCAGCAGCCGCGGUAAA